AGGUGAGGUCGCACCAGGAGGAGGCAGUCGAUGAACCUGGGAAAGGGCUCUCGCCACACACCGGUCUGCGGACACCUUGACGGUGGACGUCCAGCUCCCAGAACAAGGAGGCUUUGGAAAGCAGAAGUGUGAACAACCCAAUGCGGACCCCACUCCUUUUCCUUAUUCCCGGAGACAACAGCCCUGACUCCGUUUCGGAAACAUUGAACCUGGUGAAAAGUUUCCCCUCGACAGCGCUGAACAUUAUGUGGGACCCCCCCGGGAACCCCCCAAAGACAACGGAGCUGCCAGAGCGAGGGAGCCCUCAGGGUGACUGACCUCUGGUCUCCAAAGACAUGCAGGCCACACAUCAGGGACACGGAGCACUGCCCUGGUCCCAGGUCUCGGGCAGCAGUGCCGGUUCGGCAGCAUCGGGAACAAAGAUACCGUCAUGACCAGCUGUGGUGCCGCCCGGGCCCUGGGAGUGCCAGGGGGACACUUUGGAAAGUAUAUGAUUGUCUAACCGACAGGUGAUGCACCUGAAAGGAACACAAAGCAGCAUUCGAUGGACUUGCUCUUCCACCCCCUGGCCGCCCGCUGUGGAUGGUGUUUCAGCCCCCAGUGUCGGGGGCGGGGGCAACAGGAACUGGAACCUGCUGUGGGCACCCUCAGGCCCCGGUGCCCCACCUGCCGCCUGGAGAUGGAGCCUCAGAGGGGGCAGGCGUCUGGGGCGGCUGAGCUUCCUGUGCAGCGGAGCGUGUGGCCGACCGAGUGCCCUUUGUGACAUGUAGCUCGUCCUUUGGGGUAAGGGAAGUCGCUGUAAGAGUUCUGGGUUGGCUGCGGCCACAUCAUCAAAAUCAGUCUCGUUGCCCCUUCGUGGCACCUCCUCCUGUGCCUUCCACUGAAGCACAGGCUCCCUCCACCCCCGCCUCACACGGGCUCCUUGGACAGUCUGUCAUUGCUGGGCCGGCGCAGGCGCAGGGCGCUGGGAAAAACUCACCCCACGGCAAGAACCCCCACGUCUGCUGAUGCCGGGAAUUCUGGAAAAGACUUUUUUUUUUAAAUUAAGACGAAAGAGCCGUCCUGCCCUUCAUACAAACCAAGCCCCAUUCUGUUUUCCGCCCGCCCCACGCGGUGCACAGCACCCCACGAUUAGAGGUGGACUCGACCAUGAAACCUCUGCUGUUGGACAGAACAGUCCGGUCACCAGCUGGUGACUUGGAGUCUGCGAGACUGACAGUUUCCGAGAUGGAGGCCGCCUUUCCCGCUUGCUUCCUGCAGAUCCUGUGCAUGGCCCCACGCGGGUCAGCUCCACGCCCCGUCGGAAAGGGAGCCCAGCGCAGGAGGGCGCAGGCUGCUCGCAACCUCCUCCAGGGAACGGCGCCAGCACGUGCACCCGCACGUCUGGCCUCAGGGACAUGGCCCUUCGGACGAAACACUGUGCCAGGCGGUGGGGGCAAGACAGCUCCUGCCGGGGAGCCGGGCGGGGACGGAGCCGGGCGGGGCCCCGGGGCCUGAGGAUGGGGUCUGCAGCUCCCGUGAGCCCACACCUGCCUGGAACUCGGCGGGGGGGAAGCUCAACCUUCUGGACGCUUGGAAGGAGAGGCUCAGCUUCAGGCACGUGGCCGCCAGGCAUCGUGACCAUGAGCGAGGAGAUGCGCAUUUCCUCCGGGUCUACGGCUUUUCUCAAGUGUGGGCCUUCUGGUGUGAAUAUCAGAGGUUGGCGUGGGGAUGGAGGCGGGGGUGCUGGCCGAAGGAUUCCUCCCGUUGGCUGCAUCUGCGGGGCCUCUCUCCAGUGUGUACUGUCUGGAGUUGAAUAAGGACAGGCUGGCCUGAUGGGUUUCCCACAUCAGCCCCGCUCAUGGGCCCGGGGCCGGUGUGAGCACCGCCCAGCUGAGUGAGGCUGGGCUCCCACCAAAGGGCUUGCCCACCACCGCGCCGGCCUCUCUCCAGUGUGAACUCUGGCGUUUAGCGACGCUGCUGCUCGCGGCCUCUCUCCAGUGUGAACUCUGACGUUUAGCGACGCUGCUGCUCGCGGCCUCUCUCCAGUGUGAACUCUGACGUUUAGAGAAGCUGCUGCUCGCGGCCUCUCUCCAGUGUGAACUCUGACGUUUAGCGAAGCUGCUGCUCGCGGCCUCUCUCCAGUGUGAACUCUGACGUUUAGCGAAGCUGCUGCUUGCGGCCUCUCUCCAGUGUGAACUCUGACGUUUAGUGAAGCUGCUGCUGGCGGCCUCUUUCCAGUGUGAACUCUGACGUUUAGUGAGGCUGCUGUUCUGCUGGGGGCUCCCUGCGCUGCCCGCACUGGAGGCCCCGUCUCCCGCCCGUGACUCCUCUGUGCUCGGCGAGGCUGUAGCUUCAGAAGCUUCCCGCGCUCGCACACACGCCGGGCCUUUCUCCGGGGACUUGUGCUGCGCCCUCGCAUCUGCAUUUGCACCCAAAGCUUUUCGCACACAUUCAGGGCACUCGUGCGGUCUCUCUCCAGUGUGACCUCUGGAGCUGAACAAGUGAGUACUUACGGCAGGAGUCUUUCCCUCCUGGCUAGCCUUUGGGUGCUAUUGUUACGGAAUUUUCCCGGCGACCGAACGAUAACGAUAUGCAGGAGCGCCAGGAAAAAGCCAUUUAUUUUCAGGUGUCGCACGUGUCCCGGUCAGUGACUCAGGGCAGACGGCUUCUCUCCAAACCCUGAGCCAACCAAUUCGGAGGAAGCUUUCCCUUUAUACCCUUUGCUUUCUCUGUCCCCCAGAUAUGGGAUGGGACCUCCGGACCUUUCCCGGGCUUUGCAGAAAGCCCCGUGUGUUGGGGUGGGGGCCGGGAGACCAUACCUAGAGGCCUGGCCUGGCGCCAGUGCUGAUAACCCCGUCUGGGGGUUGUGUAUUGUUCAUGGUUUAUGCCGAGGGGGGGCGUUGGUGAGGAGAGCAGGGAGAGAGAGGGUUUUAUUGAUUUUUGCUGGCUGCGGGCGCUCUGCUGACGGAAGGGUCUGGUCCGUCCUUGGUGCCUCCCAUGCCAGGUGUCUUCUGGUUAUUUGAGCUAUGCUGUGCUCAAGGCUGCAAGCUUUCUGCAAGACUCUACUAAGCCAGUGGUCGGCAAACCGCGG
Molecule: long non-coding RNA, 3073 nt
Organism: Myotis myotis
Lineage: Eukaryota; Metazoa; Chordata; Mammalia; Chiroptera; Vespertilionidae
Exons: 3
Source: RefSeq, a predicted model, not a curated record